This 581-nucleotide ribosomal RNA is filed under the name unidentified bacterium wb1_B24. Its description in RNAcentral is "SSU rRNA". It matches the Rfam family "Bacterial small subunit ribosomal RNA", at positions 275 to 858 of the family's 1533-position model. The record is from RNAcentral.
GAUGACGGGUAGCCGGUCUGAGAGGACGAUCGGUCACAUUGGGACUGAGACACUGCCCAGACUCCUACGGGAGGCUGCAGUCGAGAAUCUUCCGCAAUGGGCGCAAGCCUGACGGAGCGACACCGCGUGCAGGAUGAAGGCCUUCGGGUUGUAAACUGCUGUCACGCUAUAGGAAACCCAUCUUCGGAUGUCUGACCAAAGCGAAAGGAAGCACCGGCUAACUCCGUGCCAGCAGCCGCGGUAAGACGGAGGGUGCAAACGUUGUUCGGAAUUACUGGGCAUAAAGCGCACGUAGGCGGCCAGGUCAGUCCGUUGUGAAAGCCCCCGGCUCAACCGGGGAACUGCAGGGGAUACUGCCUGGCUCGAGGACGGUUGGGGUGAGUGGAACUCCUGGUGGAGCGGUGAAAUGCGUAGAUAUCAGGAGGAACACCAGUGGCGAAAGCGGCUCACUGGACCGUAUCUGACGCUGAGGUGCGAAAGCUAGGGUAGCGAACGGGAUUAGAUACCCCGGUAGUCCUAGCCGUAAACGAUGGGCACUAGGUAGGGGGGAUGCCUAUGGUCUUCCCUGCCGUAGCAAAUGU